AGUGAACGCUGGCGGUAGGCCUAACACAUGCAAGUCGAACGGCAGCACAGUAAGAGCCUGCUCUUACGGGUGGCGAGUGGCGGACGGGUGAGGAAUACAUCGGAAUCUACUUUUUCGUGGGGGAUAACGUAGGGAAACUUACGCUAAUACCGCAUACGACCUACGGGUGAAAGCAGGGGAUCUUCGGACCUUGCGCGAUUGAAUGAGCCGAUGUCGGAUUAGCUAGUUGGCGGGGUAAAGGCCCACCAAGGCGACGAUCCGUAGCUGGUCUGAGAGGAUGAUCAGCCACACUGGAACUGAGACACGGUCCAGACUCCUACGGGAGGCAGCAGUGGGGAAUAUUGGACAAUGGGCGCAAGCCUGAUCCAGCCAUGCCGCGUGGGUGAAGAAGGCCUUCGGGUUGUAAAGCCCUUUUGUUGGGAAAGAAAAGCAGCAGGUUAAUACCCCGCUGUUCUGACGGUACCCAAAGAAUAAGCACCGGCUAACUUCGUG
This 492-nucleotide ribosomal RNA is filed under the name uncultured bacterium. RNAcentral describes it as "partial 16S ribosomal RNA". It matches the Rfam family "Bacterial small subunit ribosomal RNA", at positions 29 to 507 of the family's 1533-position model. The record is from RNAcentral.